Molecule: long non-coding RNA, 966 nt
Organism: Suricata suricatta (meerkat)
Lineage: Eukaryota; Metazoa; Chordata; Mammalia; Carnivora; Herpestidae
Exons: 3
Source: RefSeq, a predicted model, not a curated record
UACUACUAUUACUACUAUUAUUAUUAACCCCACAAAUAAUGUACCGAGUGCUUAAUGUGAGGCCAGACCUGGGUACUCAGUGAUUCACAACUUGCCCCAUCCCUGAGCCUGGGGAGCCUCCCAUCCAGUAGCGGAGACAAACAAAACACAAGGAAAUAGUCAGAAGUGCCCUGAAAGAAAUAAGACAAGGACCUCCUGAGACAGGGUGGUGAAGGACAGCUUCUCCCAGAAGGGGACAUUUACUCUGAAAUGGAAGCAAGGGGUGCAAAGGACAGUACUCGAGGCAGACUUCCUCAACACCAGUCCCAAGCUGAGUGUCUAAGUACCUGGCAUUUAUACUCUGGCCCCAGAAGGAUCCCCUGAUCUUCUCAACCCCAUGAAGAAGAGAGAGAAGAUAAUGGGAGUAUUCGCAUCUUCAGAUGAGGAAAAUGAAGCUCCAGGAUAUUAUGCAUGGCUUGCCCAAAGUCAGUGGUUUUCAAAACCACGACACAUGUGAGAAAUCACGUGGCCCAGUACCUACGGUAACGAAGAGUCGGAGCUGAGAGGCCCAGGUCCUUUCUGGCAAUGGCCCCCUGGCCAAGCUGUCAGCAGAGCCACACCACAGACUCUGCCCACAGGGAAAGACUGAUCCAGGCCCCCCUUCUUCUUCAGCCCCCGAGGCACUUGGAGCCCGACACUGAGGCCAGAGUGUAUACUCACCAGCAACAAGGCUUCCAGCUGGUUAAUGUAGAUCUCCUCGCUGGCCAGGAACCCCGAGAGAACCAGCUUCCUCAUCUCCAGGCCCUUCCCUGCCUCCACCUGUAUGAGAGCAAACCGAGAGCUCAGGAGAAAGCAGGCUAGGAUCCCGAGGGACCUGUUUUCUUGCCUUUUUCCUCCUCUUUAACCAACACUUCUGUAGAGAAUAAAAGCCAAGUAGAUUUGCUAUAACAACUUGGAAAUUAUAGAAUAAAAAAGGAAAAACAAUCA